ACGGGAGGCAGCAGUGGGGAAUAUUGGGCAAUGGGCGAAAGCCUGACCCAGCAACGCCGCGUGAAGGAUGAAGGUCUUCGGAUUGUAAACUUCUUUGAUCAGGGACGAAUUUUGACGGUACCUGAAGAACAAGUCACGGCUAACUACGUGCCAGCAGCCGCGGUAAUACGUAGGUGACAAGCGUUAUCCGGAUUUACUGGGUGUAAAGGGCGUGUAGGCGGUUUUGCAAGUCAGAUGUGAAAUUCCCGGGCUUAACUUGGGCGCUGCAUCUGAAACUGCAGAACUUGAGUGCUGGAGGGGAUAGCGGAAUUCCUAGUGUAGCGGUAAAAUGCGCAGAUAUUAGGAGGAACACCGGUGGCGAAGGCGGCUAUCUGGACAGUAACUGACGCUGAGGCGCGAAAGCGUGGGGAGCAAACAGGAUUAGAUACCCUGGUA
RNAcentral lists this ribosomal RNA (435 nucleotides) under uncultured Saccharofermentans sp. RNAcentral's name for it is "bacterial SSU rRNA". It matches the Rfam family "Bacterial small subunit ribosomal RNA", at positions 341 to 792 of the family's 1533-position model. Lineage: Bacteria; Bacillati; Bacillota; Clostridia; Eubacteriales; Oscillospiraceae. The record is from RNAcentral.